Molecule: small nuclear RNA, 103 nt
Filed under: Dasypus novemcinctus (nine-banded armadillo)
Lineage: Eukaryota; Metazoa; Chordata; Mammalia; Cingulata; Dasypodidae
Source: RNAcentral
CUUCCAUUUAUAAGGAACACGAAUACUAAAAUUGGGAUAAUACAGAGAUUAGCAUGGCCCUGAACAUGGAUGACAUGCAAAUUCAGAAGCAGGCCGUAUUUUG